Bubalus bubalis (water buffalo) is the source of this 1349-nucleotide long non-coding RNA. RefSeq lists it as uncharacterized. The record is from RefSeq and is a predicted model, not a curated record. NCBI's taxonomy places the organism in Eukaryota, Metazoa, Chordata, Mammalia, Artiodactyla, Bovidae. The transcript has 3 exons.
ACUUCACAGAAUUUAUCUCGAAGGCGUGUAGGGGGAUUUGCAUUUCUAACAAGCUCCCAGUUGAUGAGGAUACUGCAGGUCUGAGAGCGAUACUCUGAGAACAGCCACCCUAAUGCUUGAUUACAGAGAUGUUUUACUCAUGCAUCAUACCCAACAGCAAGAAUGUUAAGAACUUCCCUUUACAAACUCCUGCCUACAAGACCAAAAACGUGUUUGGAAUCACCUUCUCCCUGCAUUUAAGAACAAGUAGAAGCAGCUCACCAAAGUGUGAUUCAAGCCCAAAGGUAGACCCUGCGCCCGACCAGAUAACUCUCCCGGGUCCCCGUUCCGCAGCCGGACGGCAGACAGGAAACCCUUGGAUCGAGUGGGGCGGCACCACCGGCCACAAGCAGCCAUCGGAAAGGGCUCCUGCUCCCUGAGGCUCUACCAAGUCCCUGAAAGGGGUCAGCAGCGUCAGGAAGUAGCCCACAGGCGGCGGGAUGUAGCAGCCCAGGCGGGUUCUCACCAGAAUAGGCGCGAGCAGAAGUUCGCGUCCUGCAGCGAGUUGGGCUUCCGCAUCUUGCCGCGGGGGGCGGGCGCGGGCCGGGGUCGCGCAGUUCUGGAGGCGGAGCUUCUACUGGAGGCGCCGGCGGGGAGGCUGGAGGCUCAGACACAGCGGGGUCCUCUCUUUGCGAGACAGAACCACCGGCUCUGGGAGUGGGGCGCUUUUGGGAAGCCGUGGCCUCACGCUCUGACCCUCAGCCGUCUGGAGUCGGAGCGGUGGGGGCAGCAGGACGAAGGGGCGGCCAGGAGGAGGCUGCCAGGGGCCACACGCAGGUGUGAGGCGAGGCCGCAGGCACAGCUGAUGGAGGCGGGUAGGGGAACUGCCCACACAACGUACAGGACCCCCAGGCGUCCACAACCUAGCCCUGCCUGCAAACUCUACCAAAGGGCGUGCUCUGAGCGCACCCACCCAACCAGAGAAUGGAGAAGGGAGGGAUCGGCUCUAUCAGCCCCAUCUGCUUCGAAACCCCCCUCAGCUGUGGUGAAGACCUGGCGAAAGUUGAUAUUAAAACCCCCACCAGAUGGAAGAAGGUCACUGCAUCAUGGCCUUAAGCAGGAAGCACCCAGACCAGCUGGAACCAAAAGACUGAUGAUGUUAAACCCUGUGAUCCUACUCUGUUAUCUCACCCUCAACCAACCAGAAUGGUGUAGGAGUUGAUUACAUUCCCUGGACUUUCUCCCUCACCUUGCUUUUAAAACCUCUCCCCUGAAAUCCAUCAGGAAGUUUGGAUUUUAUAAGGAUGAGCUGCCUGUACUCCUAGCAUGACCCCUGCAAUAAACCUUUCUCUGCUCCAAAUGCCAACAUU